UACAAUAUUUUAUAAAUAUUCAGGAUACUUAUCUACAUUUAGGAUUUUUUUAAACUAAUAGUGAUAAACAUUUGUUUACAUAUUAGAUAUUAAUAUAUCUAUAUUAUUUAUUUGUUUCAGGUGAGUUUGGAUGAACAGUGUGGUUAUUCUUGUCCAUAUCAUCAAAAAUAAUAUCUCCCCCAGCACCUGCCGGACGGGGAUAUAAGAGCACAGCAAAGCACAAAUCCGAC
Long non-coding RNA from Dalotia coriaria, 230 nucleotides. RefSeq lists it as uncharacterized. Lineage: Eukaryota; Metazoa; Arthropoda; Insecta; Coleoptera; Staphylinidae. The transcript is spliced from 3 exons. The record is from RefSeq and is a predicted model, not a curated record.